This 467-nucleotide ribosomal RNA is filed under the name uncultured bacterium. RNAcentral describes it as "partial 16S ribosomal RNA". It matches the Rfam family "Bacterial small subunit ribosomal RNA", at positions 28 to 506 of the family's 1533-position model. The record is from RNAcentral.
GACGAACGCUGGCGGCGUGCUUAACACAUGCAAGUCGAACGGAAAGGCCCUGCUUUUGUGGGGUGCUCGAGUGGCGAACGGGUGAGUAACACGUGAGUAACCUGCCCUUGACUUUGGGAUAACUUCAGGAAACUGGGGCUAAUACCGGAUAGGAGCUCCUGCUGCAUGGUGGGGGUUGGAAAGUUUCGGCGGUUGGGGAUGGACUCGCGGCUUAUCAGCUUGUUGGUGGGGUAGUGGCUUACCAAGGCUUUGACGGGUAGCCGGCCUGAGAGGGUGACCGGCCACAGUGGGACUGAGAUACGGCCCAGACUCAUACGGGAGGCAGCAGUGGGGAAUAUUGCACAAUGGGCGGAAGCCGGAUGCAGCAACGCCGCGUGCGGGAUGACGGCCUUCGGGUUGUAAACCGCUUUCGCCUGUGACGAAGCGUGAGUGACGGUAAUGGGGAAAGAAGCACCGGCUAACUACGU